RNAcentral lists this ribosomal RNA (363 nucleotides) under uncultured Desulfocapsa sp. RNAcentral's name for it is "bacterial SSU rRNA". It matches the Rfam family "Bacterial small subunit ribosomal RNA", at positions 1018 to 1382 of the family's 1533-position model. The record is from RNAcentral. Lineage: Bacteria; Pseudomonadati; Thermodesulfobacteriota; Desulfobulbia; Desulfobulbales; Desulfocapsaceae.
CAAGAGGAAUUCGGAGACAGGUGCUGCAUGGCUGUCGUCAGCUCGUGUCGUGAGAUGUUGGGUUAAGUCCCGCAACGAGCGCAACCCUUGUCUUUAGUUGCCAUCAUUAAGUUGGGCACUCUAAAGAGACUGCCGGUGUCAAACCGGAGGAAGGUGGGGAUGACGUCAAGUCCUCAUGGCCUUUAUGACCAGGGCUACACACGUACUACAAUGGCAGGUACAAAGGGCAGCCACUUAGCGAUAAGGCGCGAAUCCCGUAAAACCUGUCUCAGUCCGGAUUGGAGUCUGCAACUCGACUCCAUGAAGUUGGAAUCGCUAGUAAUCGCAGAUCAGCACGCUGCGGUGAAUACGUUCCCGGGCCUU